Molecule: ribosomal RNA, 499 nt
Filed under: uncultured bacterium
Lineage: Bacteria
Description: bacterial SSU rRNA
Rfam family: Bacterial small subunit ribosomal RNA
Source: RNAcentral
AAUCAACGCUGGCGGCGUGCCUAACACAUGCAAGUCGAACGCGAAAGUGGAGCAAUCCAUGAGUAGAGUGGCGAACGGGUGAGUAACGCGUGGGUGACCUACCUUCGAAUGGGGGAUAACGUCCCGAAAGGGACGCUAAUACCGCAUAACAUCCUGCCUUUGAAUAGGUGGAGAUCAAAGCCGGGGAUCGCAAGACCUGGCGUUUGGAGAGGGGCCUGCGUCUGAUUAGCUAGUUGGUGAGGUAACGGCCCACCAAGGCGACGAUCAGUAUCCGGCCUGAGAGGGCGGACGGACACACUGGGACUGAGACACGGCCCAGACUCCUACGGGAGGCAGCAGUGGGGAAUUGUUCGCAAUGGGCGCAAGCCUGACGACGCAACGCCGCGUGGAGGAUGAAGGUCUUCGGAUUGUAAACUCCUGUUGCCAGGGACGAAAAGCUCCGACCUAACACGUCGGAGUCUGACGGUACCUGGUGAGGAAGCCCCGGCUAACUCUGUGC